AUUGAACGCUGGCGGCAUGCCUUACACAUGCAAGUCGAACGGCAGCACGGGAGCUUGCUCCUGGUGGCGAGUGGCGAACGGGUGAGUAAUGCAUCGGAACGUGCCCUGAAGUGGGGGAUAACGUAGCGAAAGUUACGCUAAUACCGCAUAUUCUGUGAGCAGGAAAGCAGGGGGAUCUUCGGACCUUGCGCUUUUGGAGCGGCCGAUGUCGGAUUAGCUAGUUGGUGGGGUAAAGGCCCACCAAGGCGACGAUCCGUAGCGGGUCUGAGAGGAUGAUCCGCCACACUGGAACUGAGACACGGUCCAGACUCCUACGGGAGGCAGCAGUGGGGAAUUUUGGACAAUGGGCGCAAGCCUGAUCCAGCCAUGCCGCGUGAGUGAAGAAGGCCUC
Molecule: ribosomal RNA, 391 nt
Filed under: uncultured bacterium
Lineage: Bacteria
Description: bacterial SSU rRNA
Rfam family: Bacterial small subunit ribosomal RNA
Source: RNAcentral